This 22-nucleotide microRNA is filed under the name Nautilus pompilius. Its description in RNAcentral is "Npo-Mir-315_5p (mature (co-guide))". The record is from RNAcentral. Lineage: Eukaryota; Metazoa; Mollusca; Cephalopoda; Nautilida; Nautilidae.
UUUUGAUUGUAGCUCAGAAAGC